Long non-coding RNA from Melanotaenia boesemani (Boeseman's rainbowfish), 80 nucleotides. RefSeq lists it as uncharacterized. NCBI's taxonomy places the organism in Eukaryota, Metazoa, Chordata, Actinopteri, Atheriniformes, Melanotaeniidae. The transcript has 3 exons. The record is from RefSeq and is a predicted model, not a curated record.
GCUUUACUCGGUAAAUUGUGCUUAUGUGACUUCCUGUUACCUUUCUAUCAUCUCCAACCAGUCUGCCCGUUCUCCUCUGA